RNAcentral lists this transfer RNA (76 nucleotides) under Desulfobacterales bacterium S5133MH16. RNAcentral describes it as "tRNA-His". It matches the Rfam family "tRNA". From Rfam's summary of the family: Transfer RNA (tRNA) molecules are approximately 80 nucleotides in length. The record is from RNAcentral. RNAcentral also lists the same sequence under 3 other names. Lineage: Bacteria; Pseudomonadati; Thermodesulfobacteriota; Desulfobacteria; Desulfobacterales.
GUGGGUGUAGCUCAGUAGGUAGAGCACCAGGUUGUGGCCCUGGAUGUCGCGGGUUCAAGUCCCGUCACUCACCCCA